UACGUAGGGUGCAUGCGUUAAUCGGAAUUACUGGGCGUAAAGCGUGCGCAGGCGGUUUUGUAAGUCUGACGUGAAAUCCCCGGGCUCAACCUGGGAAUUGCGUUGGAGACUGCAAGGCUAGAAUCUGGCAGAGGGGGGUAGAAUUCCACGUGUAGCAGUGAAAUGCGUAGAGAUGUGGAGGAACACCGAUGGCGAAGGCAGCCCCCUGGGUCAAGAUUGACGCUCAUGCACGAAAGCGUGGGGAGCAAACAGG
This 253-nucleotide ribosomal RNA is filed under the name uncultured bacterium. Its description in RNAcentral is "partial 16S ribosomal RNA". It matches the Rfam family "Bacterial small subunit ribosomal RNA", at positions 524 to 776 of the family's 1533-position model. The record is from RNAcentral.